RNAcentral lists this small nuclear RNA (115 nucleotides) under Nannospalax galili (Upper Galilee mountains blind mole rat). The record is from RNAcentral. Lineage: Eukaryota; Metazoa; Chordata; Mammalia; Rodentia; Spalacidae.
UUGCUAUCAUCAUCACUUUGGCAGCACAUCUACUAAAACUGGAAAGACACAGUGAGGAUCAGUAUGGUCACCAUGCUAGGGUGAUGCACGAAUUCUUGAAGCAGUACACACAAAU